This 528-nucleotide ribosomal RNA is filed under the name uncultured bacterium. RNAcentral's name for it is "bacterial SSU rRNA". It matches the Rfam family "Bacterial small subunit ribosomal RNA", at positions 777 to 1304 of the family's 1533-position model. The record is from RNAcentral.
AAUAGAUACCCUGGUAGUCCAUGCCGUAAACGAUGUCUACUAGCCGUUGGGGCCUUUGAGGCUUUAGUGGCGCAGCUAACGCGAUAAGUAGACCGCCUGGGGAGUACGGUCGCAAGACUAAAACUCAAAUGAAUUGACGGGGGCCCGCACAAGCGGUGGAGCAUGUGGUUUAAUUCGAUGCAACGUGAAGAACCUUACCUGGUCUUGACAUAGUAAGAACUUUCCAGAGAUGGAUUGGUGCCUUCGGGAACUUACAUACAGGUGCUGCAUGGCUGUCGUCAGCUCGUGUCGUGAGAUGUUGGGUUAAGUCCCGCAACGAGCGCAACCCUUUUCCUUAUUUGCCAUCAGGUUAAGCCGGGAACUUUAAGGAUACUGCCAGUGACAAACUGGAGGAAGGCGGGGACGACGUCAAGUCAUCAUGGCCCUUACGACCAGGGCUACACACGUGCUACAAUGGUCGGUACAAAGGGUUGCUACUCCGCGAGGAGAUGCUAAUCUCAAAAAGCCGAUCGUAGUCCGGAUUGGAGU